UCCAAUGGGUGAAAUUUUACUUUUUUAUCGGUCAGUUUUCAUGAUAUACAAUCCAAAGGAUGAUUCACUCAGACAACCAAAAGUUACUGAACUUAAGUGGUGUUUUACGCCGGAAAUCUUUGUUGAAAGCCUUGCUAAUCCUCUUAUUGAUAGCUGACCAACGACAUGAUAACCAUAAAGACUGAAAAUCAUGCCAUCAAUAACUUGUAAGUCUUCCUCAGCUCUAUCAAUUUUGCACAAGCUCUAGUUGAUGUUCUUUUCGUGCACAUCCUCUUUUAUCAUAUAUCGAACAAGACAUUGGAUAUCUGUGAAUCUCUAACCAUAUUUGCUUGUAAAAGAAAGAUAUUCUCCUAAUAUCCAUUAGCCUAUAAUUUGUUUUUGGUUCAGAGAAUGAAAUGGGGACUGAAAAAAUUAAUAUGGACUUUUGUUGUAAUUUACAGAAUUGAGAAAAGGAAGAAGAAACAGAAAGAAAUGAAUCUGAUAGAAGAGAGUAGAGCCAAUGUUAUUUCAUUUAACUCACUUUGAAGCAUGACUACAAGUAUUCCAUUUAUAGGCUUGUUAAUUAUCCUGUCAUUAGUGCUAACUACUUAAAUAACUUUGAGACUCAUGAACUAAUUAACUGACCAUUAACAGCAUUAUAAGUUAAUUAGAUACAAUGACAGAAAUGCCCCUCCUUGUUGAUCAGCUCACUUUAACUUUCCUGGCUCUUGUAGUUUGGCCUAAGUUGCGCGCAGUGGCAGAGCCACCUUGUGAUUAGGGGGUUCAUCCGAACCUCAUUCGAUGGAAAAUUAUACUAUUUCUAUAUAGUGAAAAUUCUUUUUUAUGUAUAUAUAAUUGAUGUUGAACCCCCUUCAGCUAGUUCGUGUGCCUAUGUUUUUCGAUUUUGAACCCCCUUGUUGAAAAUUCUGGCUCCGCCUCUGGUUGCGCAGACUCUUCACUUUCAAUGCCACACCCGUGUCGGGCUCUCCAAACAUAUUCUGCUUUUUGAGAAUCCAUUACGCACUCGCUGACAUUUUUGAAGAGUCCGAGCAACAUAGAUUUUGGCUACCUCUAAUAAAAGAACGCCAGACAUGAAAACAAAUGUGUCAACAUUGAAUAUAAGUGUUGCGAAAGAAACUAGAACUAGGAUUUGGUAUCUGUGGAAGGAAGUAAUUUGGAAAUUACAAUAAACAGGAGAAGGAAUGUGCUUAAUUUGAAGUCAAGUUCCCUAUUUUCUUGGCAUUUUUGCUUCCUUUAUCUGGAUACUUUUAUUUGCAUUCCUUUUCCUUUACAGGAUGGUUUCAGAUUUCUUUUGGCCGCCUAGGAUCUAUGUCCAAUUAACAUUUUAAAAAUGAUCAAUCCCUUCCCUGUUAUAACCUCAAACACAAAAUUGUCAGAUCUUAGACCAAACAAGGAAGCAAAAACACCCAAGGGUGUGGCCUAGAAGUGGGUUGAGAACCUGAGGUCUCAGGUUCAAAGCCCAGAGACAAAAAAGCCACUAGGUAAUUCUUCUCAUGUCCUAGCCAUGGUGGACAGAGUUACCUAAUAUUUGUUGCUGGCGGGAGGUGGCAGGCAUCUCGUGAAUAUAGUCGAGGUGUGCGAAAGCUGGCCCGGAUAUGACCGUUAUAAAAAAAAGGAAGUAAAGUAAGAGUAGGACAAAUUUCUGCAAUGAUGAGGAUACAGCUGCUCGCCUUGACAACAAUUUUGUUUAUGAGUUCAUAAAUGUAUACACACUUGCCUCCUGCAACAACUUUCCCUUUGCCUUAAACUGAUUAUGUUGAAUAGAGGCAAACAUAUGUAUUUUAUUAUAUGUAUAUAUUUUAAUUUUUUUCCCAUACGUUUUGUUUUUAGUCAAGGGUAACUUUUGUAUUCACAAAAAGCUCAUUAUCCAAAAAAUGGUGAGAGUGACUUUUACAACCACAUACUAUGUGGUACAUCCUCAUAGGGGACUGCAAAAACAUAGAAGACUUUACAAGUUACCUAUGAAAUCAACUAGAGCUAUCGUAUCCUCCCCCAAAUUAUGUUUGCUAAAAUCUUCUAGAUUUGUUAUCUACAAUCUUCUAGAGUUGUUAUCUACUUAUAAGUUAGUAGAAUAUGCAGAGAACUUUCGGUGCUAGAUAAACUAGCAGUUUUAUAAUAUUGUACUGAGAUUGACUUAGUAGGUAGUUGUGUGUUGUCUCGCUUUAUUCUUUCAUACAUUUAUUUUUUCUUAUACUUCAAUUAUUGUAUUAUUUAAUUGUAGUUACGGUUUCUUAUACAGAAUGCUUCGUCAUUCCUUGUUUAGUAUUUUGCCUUGGUUUCUUCCCUCCUGUUAUUUUCUUGAACUGAGGGUCUAUCAAGAACAACCUCUCUACCUCCCAAGGUAAGGGUAAGAUUUGCAUACACACUACCCUCCCCGGACCCCACUUGUGGAACUAUACUAGGUAUGUUGAUGGUGUUGACUGAGAUUGACUUAAACUGAGGAUAUGUGUAGUUA
RNAcentral lists this long non-coding RNA (2455 nucleotides) under Capsicum annuum. RNAcentral describes it as "long non-coding RNA (CANN_LNC002447)". The record is from RNAcentral. Lineage: Eukaryota; Viridiplantae; Streptophyta; Magnoliopsida; Solanales; Solanaceae.